CAGGACCCCAGGAUCACGCCCUGAGCUGAGGCAGAUGCCCAACCACUGAGCCACCCAGAAUUGUAUGCAGUUCUCAUGGUGCCUCUGAGACAGCAGGAGCCCCUAGAGCUGCUCUGGAGAAGCUCAAGAGAUGUAUCCAGGUGGACUGGAUCUGAAGGGCUUGAAAGGGAGUGCUUUUGAAGGAUCUCAGAGAUUUGGAUGGCCCUCCUUGUCCACGAGGCCUCACUGGAAGAAUACUCAGAGAGGUCUUCCUUCAGAGUAUCAGGGGAAGACAAAGGGACAUGGUCUUGUGAUGAGGCCGGGAGAGGAGGGAUCCGUCACCAGGGCAACCGGAACGCCCAGAAAUCUCCGUGGCAACAGCACUGGUCUGCAGAGGAGACUGCAUUGGAUCCAGAGGGGACGAGCCUAGAGGGCUCACUUCUUCUAAAGGGGUUUGCGGGACCUCUGUGAGAGUGUUUGGGUAGUUUGUUGACAUCUGUGGGGACAACCGUAGGUGUCUGGGUUUGUGAGGGUCCCUGUAGGGUUCCUAUGAGAUGUGUGUGGCUCGAUCAGUGGGGGAGCAGUGAGGACCGGAGGUUGGCAUCGCGGCUCCGAGGUCGGGGUGAGAAAGGCAGGGGGUCGAGGAGCUGGGGCUGGGGCGGAGUCUGUCCUCGGAGGCCCGCAGAAUCAAGUUGAAGACCAAUAGGAUGGGGCAGGGGGUGGGCUUUACCGACAAGAACCAAUCGAACUGAUAGAGGGGCGGAGCGUCAUACUAACGUCAGACAGAGGCCGCCGCCGCGGGGCCUGGUUAUCGCCGGUCCAGCGCAGCCCGGAGUCGCCCAGGCCUGAACUCCUACCCAGGUCCCCGGCCCGGCCUCAGCCGGCCUGACCCCGGCCCCGGGCCCAC
Molecule: long non-coding RNA, 886 nt
Organism: Canis lupus familiaris (dog)
Lineage: Eukaryota; Metazoa; Chordata; Mammalia; Carnivora; Canidae
Exons: 4
Source: RefSeq, a predicted model, not a curated record